Echinostoma caproni is the source of this 45-nucleotide non-coding RNA. The record is from Rfam. NCBI's taxonomy places the organism in Eukaryota, Metazoa, Platyhelminthes, Trematoda, Plagiorchiida, Echinostomatidae.
GCACUACUGAUGAGACCCAACCAGGUCGGAACAGCUGUCCAGUGC